This 661-nucleotide ribosomal RNA is filed under the name uncultured bacterium. RNAcentral describes it as "bacterial SSU rRNA". It matches the Rfam family "Bacterial small subunit ribosomal RNA", at positions 11 to 650 of the family's 1533-position model. The record is from RNAcentral.
GUUUGAUCAUGGCUCAGGACGAACGCUGGCGGCGUGCUUAACACAUGCAAGUCGAACGGAGAACUUAUUUCGGUAAGUUCUUAGUGGCGAACGGGUGAGUAACGCGUGGGCAACCUGCCCUCCAGUUGGGGACAACAUUCCGAAAGGGAUGCUAAUACCGAAUGUGCUCCCUCCUCCGCAUGGAGGAGGGAGGAAAGAUGGCCUCUGCUUGCAAGCUAUCGCUGGAAGAUGGGCCCGCGUCUGAUUAGCUAGUUGGUGGGGUAACGGCUCACCAAGGCGAUGAUCAGUAGCCGGUCUGAGAGGAUGAACGGCCACAUUGGGACUGAGACACGGCCCAAACUCCUACGGGAGGCAGCAGUGGGGAAUCUUCCGCAAUGGACGAAAGUCUGACGGAGCAACGCCGCGUGAGUGAUGAAGGUCUUCGGAUUGUAAAACUCUGUUGUUAGGGACGAAAGCACCGUGUUCGAACAGGUCAUGGUGUUGACGGUACCUAACGAGGAAGCCACGGCUAACUACGUGCCAGCAGCCGCGGUAAUACGUAGGUGGCAAGCGUUGUCCGGAAUUAUUGGGCGUAAAGAGCAUGUAGGCGGGCUUUUAAGUCUGACGUGAAAAUGCGGGGCUUAACCCCGUAUGGCGUUGGAUACUGGAAGUCUGAGUGCAG